GUCAUUUUCCUUGGCGCUGAUUGGCUGGAUUAGCGGAAGAUCGUGGAGGUUAGCUUAAGUGGUAGUGCUAAGAAGGUUUCCAUUUUGCCAGGUUAAAUAGCUUCAUGACCGGCACAUGACUUUUACUGGACUGCAGAAGCACGUGCCUCAUCUUCCUGCACACAAGUCUGGGUUUAGAGGAAAGUGAGUUUCUGUCCCAGUCAAGGAUUUUCCUGCAUUUAUUUCCAUCCAUUUUUCAUCGACUCUGACCAGAAAAGCAUUCCUGCAACAUGAUGUUGCUACCACUGUUGGUAUGUUUAGUGCUAGUUUUUUUCCACACCGUUAGCAUGUAGUUUCAUCUGACCAGACACCUUCUUUUCACCACUUUAUUCCUUAGCCUGUCACAAUAAAUCAAUUAAUGCACUGAAUGUAUUUUGAAAAAUACUGCAAACGU
Molecule: long non-coding RNA, 433 nt
Organism: Poecilia reticulata (guppy)
Lineage: Eukaryota; Metazoa; Chordata; Actinopteri; Cyprinodontiformes; Poeciliidae
Source: RefSeq, a predicted model, not a curated record